UUAAGCGACUAAGCGUACACGGUGGAUGCCCUGGCAGUCAGAGGCGAUGAAGGACGUGCUAAUCUGCGAAAAGCGUCGGUAAGGUGAUAUGAACCGUUAUAACCGGCGAUGUCCGAAUGGGGAAACCCAGUGUGUUUCGACACACUAUCAUUAACUGAAUCCAUAGGUUAAUGAGGCGAACCGGGGGAACUGAAACAUCUAAGUACCCCGAGGAAAAGAAAUCAACCGAGAUUCCCCCAGUAGCGGCGAGCGAACGGGGAGGAGCCCAGAGCCUGAAUCAGUGUGUGUGUUAGUGGAAGCGUCUGGAAAGGCGCGCGAUACAGGGUGACAGCCCCGUACACAAAAAUGCACAUGCUGUGAGCUCGAUGAGUAGGGCGGGACACGUGGUAUCCUGUCUGAAUAUGGGGGGGCCAUCCUCCAAGGCUAAAUACUCCUGACUGACCGAUAGUGAACCAGUACCGUGAGGGAAAGGCGAAAAGAACCCCGGCGAGGGGAGUGAAAAAGAACCUGAAACCGUGUACGUACAAGCAGUGGGAGCCCUGAUUUAUCAGGGUGACUGCGUACCUUUUGUAUAAUGGGUCAGCGACUUAUAUUCUGUAGCAAGGUUAACCGAAUAGGGGAGCCGGAGGGAAACCGAGUCUUAACUGGGCGUUAAGUUGCAGGGUAUAGACCCGAAACCCGGUGAUCUAGCCAUGGGCAGGUUGAAGGUUGGGUAACACUAACUGGAGGACCGAACCGACUAAUGUUGAAAAAUUAGCGGAUGACUUGUGGCUGGGGGUGAAAGGCCAAUCAAACCGGGAGAUAGCUGGUUCUCCCCGAAAGCUAUUUAGGUAGCGCCUCGUGAAUUCAUCUCCGGGGGUAGAGCACUGUUUCGGCAAGGGGGUCAUCCCGACUUACCAACCCGAUGCAAACUGCGAAUACCGGAGAAUGUUAUCACGGGAGACACACGGCGGGUGCUAACGUCCGUCGUGAAGAGGGAAACAACCCAGACCGCCAGCUAAGGUCCCAAAGUCAUGGUUAAGUGGGAAACGAUGUGGGAAGGCCCAGACAGCCAGGAUGUUGGCUUAGAAGCAGCCAUCAUUUAAAGAAAGCGUAAUAGCUCACUGGUCGAGUCGGCCUGCGCGGAAGAUGUAACGGGGCUAAACCAUGCACCGAAGCUGCGGCAGCGACGCUGAUGCGUUGUUGGGUAGGGGAGCGUUCUGUAAGCCUGUGAAGGUGUGCUGUGAGGCAUGCUGGAGGUAUCAGAAGUGCGAAUGCUGACAUAAGUAACGAUAAAGCGGGUGAAAAGCCCGCUCGCCGGAAGACCAAGGGUUCCUGUCCAACGUUAAUCGGGGCAGGGUGAGUCGACCCCUAAGGCGAGGCCGAAAGGCGUAGUCGAUGGGAAACAGGUUAAUAUUCCUGUACUUGGUGUUACUGCGAAGGGGGGACGGAGAAGGCUAUGUUGGCCGGGCGACGGUUGUCCCGGUUUAAGCGUGUAGGCUGGUUUUCCAGGCAAAUCCGGAGAAUCAAGGCUGAGGCGUGAUGACGAGGCACUACGGUGCUGAAGCAACAAAUGCCCUGCUUCCAGGAAAAGCCUCUAAGCAUCAGGUAACAUCAAAUCGUACCCCAAACCGACACAGGUGGUCAGGUAGAGAAUACCAAGGCGCUUGAGAGAACUCGGGUGAAGGAACUAGGCAAAAUGGUGCCGUAACUUCGGGAGAAGGCACGCUGAUAUGUAGGUGAAGCGACUUGCUCGUGGAGCUGAAAUCAGUCGAAGAUACCAGCUGGCUGCAACUGUUUAUUAAAAACACAGCACUGUGCAAACACGAAAGUGGACGUAUACGGUGUGACGCCUGCCCGGUGCCGGAAGGUUAAUUGAUGGGGUCAGCGCAAGCGAAGCUCUUGAUCGAAGCCCCGGUAAACGGCGGCCGUAACUAUAACGGUCCUAAGGUAGCGAAAUUCCUUGUCGGGUAAGUUCCGACCUGCACGAAUGGCGUAAUGAUGGCCAGGCUGUCUCCACCCGAGACUCAGUGAAAUUGAACUCGCUGUGAAGAUGCAGUGUACCCGCGGCAAGACGGAAAGACCCCGUGAACCUUUACUAUAGCUUGACACUGAACACUGGUCCUUGAUGUGUAGGAUAGGUGGGAGGCUUUGAAGUGUGGACGCCAGUCUGCAUGGAGCCGUCCUUGAAAUACCACCCUUUAAUGGCUGGUGUUCUAACGUUGGCCCGUAAUCCGGGUUGCGGACAGUGUCUGGUGGGUAGUUUGACUGGGGCGGUCUCCUCCUAAAGAGUAACGGAGGAGCACGAAGGUUGGCUAAUCCUGGUCGGACAUCAGGAGGUUAGUGCAAUGGCAUAAGCCAGCUUGACUGCGAGCGUGACGGCGCGAGCAGGUGCGAAAGCAGGUCAUAGUGAUCCGGUGGUUCUGAAUGGAAGGGCCAUCGCUCAACGGAUAAAAGGUACUCCGGGGAUAACAGGCUGAUACCGCCCAAGAGUUCAUAUCGACGGCGGUGUUUGGCACCUCGAUGUCGGCUCAUCACAUCCUGGGGCUGAAGUAGGUCCCAAGGGUAUGGCUGUUCGCCAUUUAAAGUGGUACGCGAGCUGGGUUUAGAACGUCGUGAGACAGUUCGGUCCCUAUCUGCCGUGGGCGCUGGAGAACUGAGGGGGGCUGCUCCUAGUACGAGAGGACCGGAGUGGACGCAUCACUGGUGUUCGGGUUGUCAUGCCAAUGGCACUGCCCGGUAGCUAAAUGCGGAAGAGAUAAGUGCUGAAAGCAUCUAAGCACGAAACUUGCCCCGAGAUGAGUUCUCCCUGAGACUUAGAGUCUCCUGAAGGAACGUUGAAGACGACGACGUUGAUAGGCCGGGUGUGUAAGCGCAGCGAUGCGUUGAGCUAACCGGUACUAAUGAACCGUGAGGCUUAACCUU
RNAcentral lists this ribosomal RNA (2904 nucleotides) under Escherichia albertii. Its description in RNAcentral is "bacterial LSU rRNA". It matches the Rfam family "Bacterial large subunit ribosomal RNA". The record is from RNAcentral. Lineage: Bacteria; Pseudomonadati; Pseudomonadota; Gammaproteobacteria; Enterobacterales; Enterobacteriaceae.